This 497-nucleotide ribosomal RNA is filed under the name uncultured bacterium. RNAcentral's name for it is "partial 16S ribosomal RNA". It matches the Rfam family "Bacterial small subunit ribosomal RNA", at positions 28 to 507 of the family's 1533-position model. The record is from RNAcentral.
GAUGAACGCUGGCGGCGUGCCUAAUACAUGCAAGUCGAGCGAACGGACGAGAAGCUUGCUUCUCUGAUGUUAGCGGCGGACGGGUGAGUAACACGUGGAUAACCUACCUAUAAGACUGGGAUAACUUCGGGAAACCGGAGCUAAUACCGGAUGAUAUUUUGAACCGCAUGGUUCAAAAGUGAAAGACGGUCUUGCUGUCACUAAUAGAUGGAUCCGCGCUGCAUUAGCUGGUUGGUAAGGUAACGGCUUACCAAGGCAACGAUGCAUAGCCGACCUGAGAGGGUGAUCGCCCACACUGGACCUGAGACACGGUCCAGACUCCUACGGGAGGCAGCAGUAGGGAAUCUUCCGCAAUGGGCGAAAGCCUGACGGAGCAACGCCGCGUGAGUGAUGAAGGUCUUCGGAUCGUAAAACUCUGUUAUUAGGGAAGAACAUAUGUGUAAGUAACUGUGCACAUCUUGACGGUACCUAAUCAGAAAGCCACGGCUAACUACGUG